UACGUAGGGAGCGAGCGUUGUCCGAAUUCACUGGGCGUAAAGCGCGCGUAGGCGGGCUUUUAAGUUGAGGGUGAAAUUCCGAGGCUCAACCUCGGAACUGCCUUCAAAACUGGAAGCCUUGAGGUUUGGAGAGGGAAGUGGAAUUCCAGGUGUAGCGGUGAAAUGCGUAGAUAUCUGGAGGAACACCUGUGGCGAAGGCGGCUUCCUGGCCAUAUCCUGACGCUGAGGUGCGAAAGCCAGGGGAG
Molecule: ribosomal RNA, 245 nt
Filed under: uncultured bacterium
Lineage: Bacteria
Description: partial 16S ribosomal RNA
Rfam family: Bacterial small subunit ribosomal RNA
Source: RNAcentral